AAAUACAAUAAUCCUCCGCGAACCCUUCACCAGUACUGAAUUUUCCUAUAAUAUUAUAUAGGAGUAACAAUGCUAGAACCAGUAACAAGAAGCUGCUCUUCUCCAAAAUGCAAGCAAAAGCCUAAACGGACUAACCAUGGGCCUCUAACGUACUUGAACUUAAUAUAGUAACAUCACCAGAAAACACUAUAGAUUCUCACGUUAACCUUACACAAGAGCAUUACUGGAAAGAUUAAAAGAAAGAGAAGGAACUCGGCAAAUCCAAGCCCCGCCUGUUUACCAAAAACAUCGCCUCUUGACUAUUAUAAGAGGUCCAGCCUGCCCAGUGACACAACUGUUAAACGGCCGCGGUACUCUGACCGUGCGAAGGUAGCAUAAUCACUUGUUCUUUAAAUGGGGACUAGUAUCAACGGUGCCACGAGGGCUUCCCUGUCUCCUUUUUCCAAUCAGUGAAACUGAUCUCCCUGUGAAGAAGCAGGGAUACUGAUAUAAGACGAGAAGACCCCAUGGAGCUUUAAACUCAACAGACAACCCGACACAUAUUUUUUCAUCUUAGUCAUCAAAAAGCCAUGUUUGUUAGUUUUAGGUUGGGGUGACCAUGGAGUAAAACUUAACCUCCACGACGCACGGGACUUGCUACUCCCUUAUCCAAGAGCCACGACUCUAAGAAUUAAAAUAUUAACGUAAAAUGAUCCAAACAUUUGAUCAACGGACCAAGUUACCCUGGGGAUAACAGCGCAAUCCAUUUCGAGAGCUCCUAUCGACAAGUGGGUUUACGACCUCGAUGUUGGAUCAGGGUAUCCCAGUGGUGCAGCCGCUACUAAUGGUUUGUUUGUUCAACAAUUAAAACCCUACGUGAUCU
This 862-nucleotide ribosomal RNA is filed under the name Sphaerotheca pashchima. RNAcentral describes it as "partial large subunit ribosomal RNA". It matches the Rfam family "Bacterial large subunit ribosomal RNA", at positions 1215 to 2606 of the family's 2925-position model. The record is from RNAcentral. Lineage: Eukaryota; Metazoa; Chordata; Amphibia; Anura; Dicroglossidae.